GGUGGGGCUGUGCCAGUCACAUGUGCCAGGAUCUGCUUUGCAGAGCUGCUUUCCAUGGCAUGUCCUGGUGCCAGGGGCUGCACCUCCCCAGGGAGAGGAUUCUGCUUGGCCCUUGGUUGAACUUCAGGAGGUUCUGUCGCCCUGUUUCUUCAGCCUAUCAAGUUCCCUGAGUCUGCAGCAUCAUCUUCUGGUGUCUCAGCCAUUCUACAGAGAACCAGGACUAAUUUUCUUGCUGGAGAGCCCACAGAUCAGUAAAGGAGGCCAGGAGGAAUCAGUCACUGAACACCACGGGAAGAGAAGGAAUGACCCCACACACCCCAUAUCAGGGCACUGGCUGCAGAGCCAGCCCUGCUGGGUGGAUCACAUUCUUUUCCAAAGGCUGUGUGUGAAGCAGGAGCUCAAUAGUCACAUGAAAAGUGGGGAGCAGAAGGGCAUUCCUGCUACAUUUCUGCUGCAGUGCCCAGCCAAAAAGCUGUAGAAUGGGGCUGUUUGGUGCUUCAUGCUGCCACCUCCCUACUUCUCCCUGGAGAAGAAUGAACACCAGGUUUUACAGCAGGUUGCAGAAUUAAGAAGACACAGCAUUCAUUCUGCUAUUGAAAAUGUGAGUAUAAAAAUUUUGAAGGGCAGAAAAUCUGCCAGAGCUGUAAAUCCUGAUCCUGAGUUCUAGGAAAAUAUGUGAUGCCUAUACAACUUAGAUUGAAGUUACCAAGUGCUUAUAUAGCUUAAGUUUCAAGGUACCAGUAUAACUGGAUAUAUCUAUAUAACCUUAUAUCAAUAUAACCUAACACAUGAUAUUUUAAUAUAUGCAAAUAACCUGGUACCUAUGUAAUCUGAAUCAUAGCUUUUUAUACCUAUAUAACCUGAUAUAAAUAACUUUUUAUACAAUGUAAUAGCUAGUAUAUGGUUAACUAGUUGCUUACUGCUGAAUAGACAAAAAAGAAGAAAAAAACUCACCGAGUGGAUAGCUUUAGAGCUAAGUAAGUAUAGUACUAAUGAGAAAUUGGAAAAUGUAAAGCAAAUUAGCCACAAACCAAAGAAUUUAGACCAGUUAAGACCAGACAGACCAAGGAAUAUGACAACUUUGCAUGCUCUGAAGACAAAGUUGAAAAGUUGAGAUGGGAAGACCUUGGAAACCUUCAUCAAAGACCCAUAAUGAUCCCCAAAUUGGGGAGGUGCAAGCACAGUGCAAAAUAAUUAUCUAAUAACCAUGAGAUGAUACUCUUUAAAUUAGUUACAGUGUGUAUGUGAUGAUGUUGUAGUGCCAUAGUGAUACUAAGAAAUAUUUACUGUAUAGAUAUAACACAGCACUUGACAAAGGUGGGUGAGUUUGGAGGAGAUAUCCCCCUCACCACCAGCUCUGCAAUAAACAAAUACCUUCUCUUCUGA
Molecule: non-coding RNA, 1386 nt
Organism: Cyanistes caeruleus (blue tit)
Lineage: Eukaryota; Metazoa; Chordata; Aves; Passeriformes; Paridae
Source: RefSeq, a predicted model, not a curated record